This 58-nucleotide transfer RNA is filed under the name Mus musculus (house mouse). Lineage: Eukaryota; Metazoa; Chordata; Mammalia; Rodentia; Muridae. The record is from Rfam by way of RNAcentral.
UGGCUCAGCGGUUAAGAGCACUGGUGGCUCUUCCAGAGGUUCUGAGUUCAAUUCUCAG